Molecule: transfer RNA, 76 nt
Filed under: Holosporales bacterium
Lineage: Bacteria; Pseudomonadati; Pseudomonadota; Alphaproteobacteria; Holosporales
Description: tRNA-Lys
Rfam family: tRNA
About the family: Transfer RNA (tRNA) molecules are approximately 80 nucleotides in length.
Source: RNAcentral
GGGCGCCUAGCUCAGUUGGCAGAGCAACUGACUCUUAAUCAGUGGGUCGGAGGUUCGAAUCUUCCGGCGCCCACCA